Molecule: unclassified non-coding RNA, 515 nt
Filed under: Hevea brasiliensis (rubber tree)
Lineage: Eukaryota; Viridiplantae; Streptophyta; Magnoliopsida; Malpighiales; Euphorbiaceae
Source: RNAcentral
AUUGAGAAAGCUGCAUUUCAAACUCAUCAUGGACACAUCGAGUUCCUUGUAAUGCCAUUCGGCCUCACCAAUGCGCCUUCAACUUUUCAAGCAUUGAUGAAUGAAGCGUUUCAGCCUUAUUUACGCAAGUUUGUUUUAGUUUUUUUCAAUGAUAUAUUGAUAUAUAACAAGUCAUGGGUAGAGCAUUUGCAGCACAUUUGGGUAGUUUUUGAAUUAUUACGAUCUCACUAUUUAUUUCUUAAGAAAUCUAAGUGCUCUUUUGGGGAGAUCCAGGUAGCGUAUCUUGGCCAUUUUAUCACUGGUGCAGGAGUUUUGGCUGAUGCAAACAAAAUUAAAGCCACAACAGAAUGGCCCAUACCUACUUUAGCGAAAGCCUUACAUGGAUUUCUUGGAUUGGCUGGCUACUAUCACAAGUUUAUACAAAAUUAUGGCAAAGUUGCUGCCCCAUUUAUGAGCUUAUUAAAGAAAAAUUCCUUUCAAUGGAAUGUAGUGCAAGAUCCUUUGCACAAUUGAAG